Molecule: ribosomal RNA, 237 nt
Filed under: uncultured bacterium
Lineage: Bacteria
Description: partial 16S ribosomal RNA
Rfam family: Bacterial small subunit ribosomal RNA
Source: RNAcentral
UGGGUAACCUGCCUCAAAGAGGGGAAUAGCCUCCCGAAAGGGAGAUUAAUACCGCAUAAUAUGUUUUAGUCGCAUGACUUAAACAUCAAAGGAUUUUCUUUUAGAAAUUCCACUUUGAGAUGGACCCGCGGCGCAUUAGCUAGUUGGUGAGGUAACGGCUCACCAAGGCAACGAUGCGUAGCCGACCUGAGAGGGUNAUCGGCCACAUUGGAACUGAGACACGGUCCAGCUCCGAGG